GACGGAGGAUGCAAGUGUUAUCCGGAAUCACUGGGCGUAAAGCGUCUGUAGGUGGUUCGAAAAGUCCACUGUUAAAAAAUUGAGGCUUAACUUCAAAGAUGCCGUGGAAACUUUCAAACUAGAGUAUGGUAGGGGUAGAGGGAAUUCCAUGUGGAGCGGUGAAAUGCGUAGAUAUUGGAAAGACCACCGAUGGCGAAGGCACUCUACUGGGCCACUACUGACACUGAGAGACGAAAGCUAGGGGAGCAAAUGGG
Molecule: ribosomal RNA, 254 nt
Filed under: uncultured bacterium
Lineage: Bacteria
Description: partial 16S ribosomal RNA
Rfam family: Bacterial small subunit ribosomal RNA
Source: RNAcentral